GAUGAACGCUAGCUACAGGCUUAACACAUGCAAGUCGAGGGGUAACAUGAUAAAAGCUUGCUUUUAUCGAUGACGACCGGCGCACGGGUGCGUAACACGUAUUCAACUUGCCACACACUCAGGAAUAGCCUUUCGAAAGAGAGAUUAAUACCUGAUAGUAUAAUCAAUUCGCAUGUUUUGAUUAUUAAAGAUUUAUCGGUGUGUGAUAGGAAUGCGUUCCAUUAGAUAGUAGGUGAGGUAACGGCUCACCUAGUCCACGAUGGAUAGGGGUUCUGAGAGGAAGAUCCCCCACAUUGGAACUGAGACACGGUCCAAACUCCUACGGGAGGCAGCAGUGAGGAAUAUUGGUCAAUGGACGAAAGUCUGAACCAGCCAAGUAGCGUGAAGGAUGACUGCCCUAUGGGUUGUAAACUUCUUUUAUAAGAGAAUAAAGUCAGUUACGUGUAACUGUUUGCAUGUAUCUUAUGAAUAAGGAUCGGCUAACUC
RNAcentral lists this ribosomal RNA (486 nucleotides) under uncultured bacterium. Its description in RNAcentral is "bacterial SSU rRNA". It matches the Rfam family "Bacterial small subunit ribosomal RNA", at positions 28 to 503 of the family's 1533-position model. The record is from RNAcentral.